AUUUGUCACAACAGACCUGCGCUAAUGGAAAACUGAAGACUGUUCUUGAAGUAAAAUAAAAUUAUCCCAGAUGGGAAACUAGAGAUGUAAGGCGAAGUGAAAGAGCGAAAGUGUGAUGAAUAUCGUGGCUAAGUCAAAAUGAGCAGCGACUGUACGAAAAAGAACGAAGCCUACGGAAUUCAAACACACGGUAACAGACGGCAUGGGAGUCAAAGGCGGGGCGGGGGGGGGGAACGAGCUCCUAAGAGAAAAGAACUUCAAGCUGUGUGACAAAGUUCUAGAAGCCUGGAGUGAGUACGGGCACAGCAGCCACUUCUGAGAGCAUCAGGAAGCCUCAUGAAGGGCAUCUCUCCAGAAGAUUAGAGCAAUUAGUUCUUGCGGCAUUCAGGGACAUGUGAGUUGAGUUUUACCAACCAAAGUCAGUUCAGAGGCUUGUUAAUAUUCCUAACGGAGGAAUACACUGAAAAGCAAUGAGAAGACAGCAGCAUUCCUGAACAAGAACCUCAGCCCUGAAAAGAAAAGCAAGGAUAGAAUGCUUUUCUGCAAGAAUAUCAUUAAAGGAUCCUGUUUGUUAUGGACCUUCCAGAUUGCAUGGAAGAAGGGGGUGUGAGAAGAAGAAAACGGAGAGACACUUCAAGGUUGCUGCACAUCACAACAUAACUACUCAGACCAACGCCACAACAUCUUGGAGGUUCGCAGGUCGAUUCACCCGGUCGGCAAAAUAAAAGCGGAGUGAGAGUAGCAGGAAAAACGGAGUCGAGCUAGCUUGAAGUAUUAGACGCUGUCAGCACUGGUCAAAAAUAAACUUUCAUCCUGGUAAGUGUA
Long non-coding RNA from Herpailurus yagouaroundi (jaguarundi), 825 nucleotides. RefSeq lists it as uncharacterized. Lineage: Eukaryota; Metazoa; Chordata; Mammalia; Carnivora; Felidae. The record is from RefSeq and is a predicted model, not a curated record. The transcript has 3 exons.